Molecule: long non-coding RNA, 295 nt
Organism: Xenia sp. Carnegie-2017
Lineage: Eukaryota; Metazoa; Cnidaria; Anthozoa; Malacalcyonacea; Xeniidae
Exons: 2
Source: RefSeq, a predicted model, not a curated record
CGUCUGUCUAGCGAGCAUCGUACAGAGAAACGUCAGGCUGAUCAAGACAAGGAGGAACUUUUAAAUAUUUUAGAACAAUGUUCCUCCACAAGUACAAAUGUUUUCUCAGUGAUUGAGCCUGAAGCAAAUAACAGUUGUGAUUUGGGUGCGUCUGACAGUCCUGAAGCAUUGCCAACUAAUUAUUGCAAGCCAGAAACCAAAGAUGCAUCAACAGUGUUCAUUUGUUGUGAGGAGUUUACAUGCCAUGGAAGUCCAAACUACACUGUCGAUGCUGAAUACUGUGGAUGCAGAGGUU